Cuculus canorus (common cuckoo) is the source of this 1308-nucleotide long non-coding RNA. RefSeq lists it as uncharacterized. The record is from RefSeq and is a predicted model, not a curated record. The transcript has 4 exons. Lineage: Eukaryota; Metazoa; Chordata; Aves; Cuculiformes; Cuculidae.
CCUGCACCAGAGUUGUCAGGGGCUGGGCCUGUAGGCUCUUCUCUGUGCCCAUGCCAGUCCUGCAGAAACUGCUUGUCUUUCCUGAAAUGCUGCAAGAUGCUACAGUGGAUGUCUCUGCCGGCGUUGCCUGGUUGAAUUGCUUCUGCAGGAUAUGCUGAGCUCUUCUUCUCGCUAGUCUCUUCUGUUUACAUGUGGACAUUAACAGGAUCUGUAAUAUACAGUAAUCAGGAAUAGUUUGGAAGAAGACUUAAACUGCAAGCCAACACCUUACACAAUACAAGUAUUUGGGAUUCCUGGUGUCUCAAGACCUGUGACAGAUUCGCCUUUCAUUGUUGGACUGGCUUUCUGGAUGCGGAUCUGUUUGGAGGACAUGUAAAUCUCUUGACAUCUCCAGUGAUGGGUCAGAGCCUGCAGGGAGGAAAGACACAGCCAUAUGCUAUGAAACGGGAGCAGAAGCUGUGGCCAAAGCAGGAAGGGAGCACCUGUCCUGGCUCAGGGUGUCACUGGGGCCCCAGGCUGUACUUGUUGCACAAUGUUCAAAGCCUGCUCUGAAGAUAUGGCUAUCAGUUUCCGCAUUGCCUUUCCUGUGGUAGACACCAGUAGCCUGUGCAUGGACUCCACAAACAAGAGUGAUUUUUAACUCCUAAAGCCCUGCUGAGAAGAGAGGAUCUGAUACUCUUGUUUUGCAAUUGAAGAAUAUCAAGCAGUUUGGAUAUUACAUUUCUAAGAGCCUGAGAAUUUUAUUUUUCAGCCUACUUAACACUAAAACCAACAUCCAAGAACAGAUGCCAUUUGACUUUGCUUGAAGUUAUAAGUUUCAACAUUUUGGCAAGUCAGACCACAAGGCCUUAGGUUUGGCAUGCAGAAAAUGAGGAAUGAAUGACUUCUUGUGAUAAAUCCUCAGACUUGACAUCAUGCAGACACACUGUGGCAGAUGCAAGAGCAGAAUUCAGCUCCCCCAAGGCAGCAGUUGGGCUUUUCUCUUUCUCUGGUCCCCUGACUCAUCGAUUUCAUACUUUCCAGACUCUGCAACAAGUAAAGCAGAUGUACUUCAAACUUUACACAGUUCUACUGUUCAUGUCUGGAGUUGUUCUGCUGUUCUUGUUCAGCAAAACACAGUUGUUAUGGAAAGAUCACAAAAUGAAAAUGCCUAACCUGAAGCCAAACCUAGAUCUUACUUUUUAGACCUAUAGGUGAGGAUUCUCACCUAUCGGUAUUGACAAUCUGGAUUUCUGAUCUAAUUUCAAACUCAGGCUCUCUUGCUCAGAUCUAGAUAUCCCUUAUAUAAUAGCACAUAAAUAGUCUUAA